AACGAACGCUGGCGGCAUGCCUAACACAUGCAAGUCGAACGAGACCUUCGGGCCUAGUGGCGCAAGGGUGCGUAACGCGUGGGAACCUGCCCUUAGGUUCGGAAUAACUACCCGAAAGGGGUGGUAGUACCGGAUAAUGUCAUCGGACCUAAGAUUUAUCGCCUUUGGGUGUGCCCGCAGUGUAUUAGCUAGUUGGUAGGGUAAAAGCCUACCAAGGGGACGAUGCUUAACUGGUUCGGGAGGAUGGUCAGCCACCCUGGGGGUGAGACACGGCCCAGACUCCCACCGGAGGACGCAAGUGGGAAUGAUGGGCGACGGGCGAGAGGCUGAUCCAGCCAUGCCGCGUGGGUUAGGAAGGCCUUAGGGUUGGAUAGGUCUUUUACCCGGGCUGAUUAUGACGGUACCGGGAGAAUAAGCGCCGGCUAACUCCGUG
RNAcentral lists this ribosomal RNA (433 nucleotides) under uncultured bacterium. RNAcentral's name for it is "partial 16S ribosomal RNA". It matches the Rfam family "Bacterial small subunit ribosomal RNA", at positions 29 to 507 of the family's 1533-position model. The record is from RNAcentral.